Molecule: microRNA, 20 nt
Filed under: Ornithorhynchus anatinus (platypus)
Lineage: Eukaryota; Metazoa; Chordata; Mammalia; Monotremata; Ornithorhynchidae
Description: oan-miR-1420b-5p
Source: miRBase by way of RNAcentral
AUCCAAUCUGGGAGCACUCU